This 492-nucleotide ribosomal RNA is filed under the name uncultured bacterium. RNAcentral's name for it is "partial 16S ribosomal RNA". It matches the Rfam family "Bacterial small subunit ribosomal RNA", at positions 29 to 507 of the family's 1533-position model. The record is from RNAcentral.
AGUGAACGCUGGCGGUAGGCCUAACGCAUGCAAGUCGAACGGCAGCACAGUAAGAGCUUGCUCUUACGGGUGGCGAGUGGCGGACGGGUGAGGAAUACAUCGGAAUCUACUUUUUCGUGGGGGAUAACGUAGGGAAACUCACGCUAAUACCGCAUACGACCUACGGGUGAAAGCAGGGGAUCUUCGGACCUUGCGCGAUUGAAUGAGCCGAUGUCGGAUUAGCUAGUUGGCGGGGUAAAGGCCCACCAAGGCGACGAUCCGUAGCUGGUCUGAGAGGAUGAUCAGCCACACUGGAACUGAGACACGGUCCAGACUCCUACGGGAGGCAGCAGUGGGGAAUAUUGGACAAUGGGCGCAAGCCUGAUCCAGCCAUACCGCGUGGGUGAAGAAGGCCUUCGGGUCGUAAAGCCCUUUUGUUGGGAAAGAAAAGCAGCAGGUUAAUACCCCGCUGUUCUGACGGUACCCAAAGAAUAAGCACCGGCUAACUUCGUG